UGAGAUAUAGUAGGUUGCUUGCAUUAGUAUUCACGAAUAUGUUGCAUUGCAUUUAUGAUGUUGAUGUGGAUUGGUUAUUGGAUGAUCCUUUAGUCCUCAUAUGAUAUGAUGAUGUUAUGGCAUGAUAUGGUAUGGAAGUCCAGGUUGUACCCAUUCUACGUCCCUGGCACGAUGUAAAAGGAAGUCCAGGUUGUACCCAUUCUACGUCCUUGGCACAGUUGGACUGUAUGAUAUGUUAUGUUAAGAGAAAGACCGGU
This 257-nucleotide long non-coding RNA is filed under the name Manihot esculenta (cassava). RNAcentral's name for it is "long non-coding RNA (MESC_LNC003677)". Lineage: Eukaryota; Viridiplantae; Streptophyta; Magnoliopsida; Malpighiales; Euphorbiaceae. The record is from RNAcentral.